Macadamia integrifolia is the source of this 1423-nucleotide long non-coding RNA. RefSeq lists it as uncharacterized. The transcript is spliced from 2 exons. Lineage: Eukaryota; Viridiplantae; Streptophyta; Magnoliopsida; Proteales; Proteaceae. The record is from RefSeq and is a predicted model, not a curated record.
CGUAUCUUAGCGUAUCUCCGAUACGAUACGAUACUCUCCGAUACGUAUCUUAAUUUUGGCCGACCGAUACGGUGACCGAUACCGAUACUUUAAUCCUUGGCUAGAGAUGAAGUCAAUGUCAACUAUAGGAGACUUAAAAGCCAUCUUUUUGAUCUUUCGUCUCUAACACAGGGGACCCAGUUGAGAAGUGUAAUGAAUGGGGUGAUAAUAAGCCAUAGGCUUUAUAUUGAUGGCCUUGGUCCAUUUGUAGGUCUAUAUAAAUUUGAUUUACUCAAAAUGUUCACUUUUAUAUCCAAAUUACGGGAUAAUGGUUUCCGUUUGGGAACAUAGGUCUUGCGCCAGCACCCCAGCCAGUGAGAGUUCGUGAAUGGGUAGGAGGGGUGCAAUAGUCAUUUUGCACCCCUUAUGUCUGGGUAGAAGGACACGUUUCCAAACAUAAAAUGCAUUUCUCCAAAAUAUAUAAAGAAGAAAAGAACCCUAUCCGCUGGCAUGUCUCUACGUCUAGAUAUAGGCGAACGCGAAAAGACUGCUCUCCUCCUCCCAACUCACCCAGAUGCCUCAGCAUCUCUCAAUUGACUUGCACGUUGGCACAAUGGCCACGCAAGCAGACAUGGUUUUCUUAUCCUUAUAUAAAAUAGGGGGAAGAGUUCUCUGUCUAGGAACUUGACCCUGCACCUGUUAGAAAAAAAAAAGAAGGAAUUAUUAAGUUGCUUAGUAUUUAAUAUCUUAUCAAUAAUGAUAAGAUUGGUUUUGUGAGUGAUUAACUCUAAGUAGGAAAUCUUUAUGCCAAAGUUGGGUUUAUAUACAACUCUUACGAAUAGGGAUUUUGGUUGGAGGUAUACAAAAACUCUAAAAACCAAAGCAAAAUAGGAUUUUAAUUCUCUCUUCUUUUAUAUUGUCGUGCUCCUCUCCCUCUCUCACACGCUUAAUCUCUACACUAAUAAUUGAGUGGUAAUUAGGGUUUUGUGAAAACUCUGACUAUUGAGGAAAAGCUUGGACUCAAAGGGAACGCAAAGCUGUACGUGUGGGAAGGACUCAUUGUGAAAGGGCUAAGAUCGCGUGGAGAUUCUGCACUUGUAGAGUUUCAAGCAUUUUAUUUUUAUUUGAUCGUGAAAAGACUGGAGGAGGAGAUUGCUUAGAGGAAGCGACGGGAGAUGGAGAAGCAAGUUUUUUGUUUUAUUUCAAUAUAAAAGUUAUUUUGGUUAUAAUUAUUUGCAUUGCAAUAUCACAUAAUUAUGUUGUAUGGGAGUAAUUAAAGAGGUUAUGUUACUCCCACCCAUCUUGGAAUCAAAUUGAUUUGCAUGUGAUGACAAAUCUAAUUCCAGAUGUUAUCCCAUAACCACUAAGGCUUUGUUUUAUAUUUCAUGUAAAUGAUUAUUUUAUGAUUCCUAGUUACAUGUGAUGUAUAGUGAUAUUAUCACUC